Molecule: ribosomal RNA, 423 nt
Filed under: Curvularia tuberculata
Lineage: Eukaryota; Fungi; Ascomycota; Dothideomycetes; Pleosporales; Pleosporaceae
Description: partial large subunit ribosomal RNA
Rfam family: Eukaryotic large subunit ribosomal RNA
Source: RNAcentral
UUGACCUCGGAUCAGGUAGGGAUACCCGCUGAACUUAAGCAUAUCAAUAAGCGGAGGAAAAGAAACCAACAGGGAUUGCCCUAGUAACGGCGAGUGAAGCGGCAACAGCUCAAAUUUGAAAUCUGGCUCUUUCAGAGUCCGAGUUGUAAUUUGCAGAGGGCGCUUUGGCUUUGGCAGCGGUCCAAGUUCCUUGGAACAGGACGUCACAGAGGGUGAGAAUCCCGUACGUGGUCGCUAGCUAUUGCCGUGUAAAGCCCCUUCGACGAGUCGAGUUGUUUGGGAAUGCAGCUCUCAAUGGGAGGUAAAUUUCUUCUAAAGCUAAAUAUUGGCCAGAGACCGAUAGCGCACAAGUAGAGUGAUCGAAAGAUGAAAAAGCACUUUUGGAAAGAGAGUCAAACAGCACGUGAAAUUGUUGAAAGGGAA